This 61-nucleotide transfer RNA is filed under the name Sphyranura euryceae. RNAcentral's name for it is "tRNA-Leu". The record is from RNAcentral. Lineage: Eukaryota; Metazoa; Platyhelminthes; Monogenea; Polystomatidea; Sphyranuridae.
CUAGGUGUGCCAGAAUUAUAUGGAUAAGUUUUAGGUACUUAAAAUGAGUUUUCCUCCUAGU